GAUGAACGCUGGCGGCGUGCCUAAUACAUGCAAGUCGAGCGAACAGACGAGGAGCUUGCUCCUCUGACGUUAGCGGCGGACGGGUGAGUAACACGUGGAUAACCUACCUAUAAGACUGGGAUAACUUCGGGAAACCGGAGCUAAUACCGGAUAAUAUAUUGAACCGCAUGGUUCAAUAGUGAAAGACGGUUUUGCUGUCACUUAUAGAUGGAUCCGCGCCGCAUUAGCUAGUUGGUAAGGUAACGGCUUACCAAGGCGACGAUGCGUAGCCGACCUGAGAGGGUGAUCGGCCACACUGGAACUGAGACACGGUCCAGACUCCUACGGGAGGCAGCAGUAGGGAAUCUUCCGCAAUGGGCGAAAGCCUGACGGAGCAACGCGGCGUGAGUGAUGAAGGUCUUCGGAUCGUAAAACUCUGUUAUUAGGGAAGAACAAAUGUGUAAGUAACUAUGCACGUCUUGACGGUACCUAAUCAGAAAGCCACGGCUAACUACGUG
RNAcentral lists this ribosomal RNA (497 nucleotides) under uncultured bacterium. RNAcentral's name for it is "partial 16S ribosomal RNA". It matches the Rfam family "Bacterial small subunit ribosomal RNA", at positions 28 to 507 of the family's 1533-position model. The record is from RNAcentral.